This 482-nucleotide ribosomal RNA is filed under the name uncultured bacterium. Its description in RNAcentral is "partial 16S ribosomal RNA". It matches the Rfam family "Bacterial small subunit ribosomal RNA", at positions 28 to 523 of the family's 1533-position model. The record is from RNAcentral.
AGUGAACGUUGGCGGCGUGGAUUAGGCAUGCAAGUCGAGCGAGAACCGUAGCAAUACGGGGACAGCGGCGAAAGGGACAGUAAUGUGUAGGUACCUACCCCGAGGUCUGGGAUAGCUGCGGGAAACUGCAGGUAAUACCGGAUAAUGUCUUCGGACCAAAGGUGUGAUUCCACCUUGGGAGGGGCCUGCGUCCUAUUAGCUAGUUGGCGGGGUAAUGGCCCACCAAGGCGACGAUGGGUAGCGGGUGUGAGAGCACGACCCGCGUCAUUGGGACUGAGACACGGCCCAGACGCCUACGGGUGGCUGCAGUCGAGGAUCUUCGGCAAUGGGCGAAAGCCUGACCGAGCGACGCCGCGUGCGGGAUGAAGGCCUUCGGGUUGUAAACCGCUGUCGUAGAGGAGGAAAUGCAGGUGGGUUCUCCCAUCUGUUUGACCUAUUCUAGGAGGAAGUACGGGCUAAGUUCGUGCCAGCCGCCGCGGUAA